AUUGAACGCUGGCGGCAUGCCUUACACAUGCAAGUCGAACGGUAGAGGGGCAACCCUCGAGAGUGGCGAACGGGUGAGUAAUGCAUCGGAACGUACCCAGUUGUGGGGGAUAGCUCGGCGAAAGCCGGAUUAAUACCGCAUACGCACUGAGGUGGAAAGCGGGGGACGUCGCAAGGGCCUCGCGCAGUUGGAGCGGCCGAUGUCAGAUUAGCUAGUUGGUGGGGUAAAGGGCCUACCAAGGCGACGAUCUGUAGCUGGUCUGAGAGGAUGACCAGCCACACUGGGACUGAGACACGGCCCAGACUCCUACGGGAGGCAGCAGUGGGGAAUUUUUGGACGAAUAGGGCGGCGAACGACCUCGAUCCACGCCAUGCCG
Molecule: ribosomal RNA, 376 nt
Filed under: uncultured bacterium
Lineage: Bacteria
Description: bacterial SSU rRNA
Rfam family: Bacterial small subunit ribosomal RNA
Source: RNAcentral